Molecule: ribosomal RNA, 253 nt
Filed under: uncultured bacterium
Lineage: Bacteria
Description: partial 16S ribosomal RNA
Rfam family: Bacterial small subunit ribosomal RNA
Source: RNAcentral
UACGUAGGGGGCAAGCGUUGUCCGGAUUUAUUGGGCGUAAAGCGCGUGUAGGCGGCCAGACAGGUCUGCUGUGAAAACUCGAGGCUCAACCUCGAGACGCCGGUGGAAACCGUUUGGCUAGAGUCCGGAAGAGGAGAGUGGAAUUCCUGGUGUAGCGGUGAAAUGCGCAGAUAUCAGGAAGAACACCCGUGGCUAAGGCGGCUCUCUAGUACGGUACUGACGCUGAGACGCGAAAGCGUGGGGAGCAAACAGG